GGAUGAACAGUGACCGAUUUGCCGUCCCAAAAGACAAGCACUUGGUACAACGAGGAAGGAAUACAGCUGGUUUGAUGAAUCCAAUCUCGGCCGAGCAGUGCAUUAUACUCGGUUUUGGAAUCAACCACGAAAAAGGCGGUCAUAUGGGUGCGACCGGCAAUAUUCACAGUUAACGGAAGCACACCUUUAGUGUGGGACUUGUCGCCGACAAAACUGCUCAUUGUGAUCCCCGACGGAAUAAGUUCGUCAUUUGAACGGCGCAAGGCCUUCAUGAUGUUCAGGGGCAUGAUAUUGACAGUAGCUCCACAAUCGACGAAAACUUUAGAAACCGGAUAUCCCUCGAUGUGUGCCGUUACAUACAAUGG
Molecule: long non-coding RNA, 365 nt
Filed under: Malus domestica (apple)
Lineage: Eukaryota; Viridiplantae; Streptophyta; Magnoliopsida; Rosales; Rosaceae
Description: long non-coding RNA (MDOM_LNC009586)
Source: RNAcentral